RNAcentral lists this ribosomal RNA (373 nucleotides) under uncultured organism. Its description in RNAcentral is "partial 16S ribosomal RNA". It matches the Rfam family "Bacterial small subunit ribosomal RNA", at positions 527 to 896 of the family's 1533-position model. The record is from RNAcentral.
GUAGGUGGCAAGCGUUGUCCGGAAUUAUUGGGCGUAAAGCGCGCGCAGGCGGUUCUUUAAGUCUGAUGUGAAAGCCCACGGCUCAACCGUGGAGGGUCAUUGGAAACUGGAGAACUUGAGUACAGAAGAGGAAAGCGGAAUUCCACGUGUAGCGGUGAAAUGCGUAGAGAUGUGGAGGAACACCAGUGGCGAAGGCGGCUUUCUGGUCUGUAACUGACGCUGAGGCGUGAAAGCGUGGGGAGCAAACAGGGAUUAGAUACCCUGGUAGUCCACGCCGUAAACGAUGGGUGCUAAGUGUUAGGGGGUUUCCCGCCCCUUAGUGCUGCAGCUAACGCAUUAAGCACUCCGCCUGGGGAGUACGGCCGCAAGGCUG